AUUGAACGCUGGCGGCAGGCCUACACAUGCAAGUCGAACGGCAGCACAGAAGAGCUUGCUCUUUGGGUGGCGAGUGGCGGACGGGUGAGUAAUGUCUGGGAAACUGCCCGAUGGAGGGGGAUAACUACUGGAAACGGUAGCUAAUACCGCAUAACGUCGCGAGACCAAAGUGGGGGACCUUCGGGCCUCACACCAUCGGAUGUGCCCAGAUGGGAUUAGCUAGUGGGUGGGGUAAUGGCUCACCUAGGCGACGAUCCCUAGCUGGUCUGAGAGGAUGACCAGCCACACUGGAACUGAGACACGGUCCAGACUCCUACGGGAGGCAGCAGUGGGGAAUAUUGCACAAUGGGCGCAAGCCUGAUGCAGCCAUGCCGCGUGUAUGAAGAAGGCCUUCGGGUUGUAAAGUACUUUCAGCGGGGAGGAAGGCGGUGAGGUUAAUAACCUUGCCGAUUGACGUUACCCGCAGAAGAAGCACCGGCUAACUCCGUGCCAGCCGCCGCGGUAA
This 505-nucleotide ribosomal RNA is filed under the name uncultured bacterium. RNAcentral describes it as "partial 16S ribosomal RNA". It matches the Rfam family "Bacterial small subunit ribosomal RNA", at positions 29 to 523 of the family's 1533-position model. The record is from RNAcentral.